CCUACGGGAGGCAGCAGUAGGGAAUCUUCCACAAUGGACGAAAGUCUGAUGGAGCAACGCCGCGUGAGUGAAGAAGGGUUUCGGCUCGUAAAGCUCUGUUGGUAGGGAAGAAAAAUAGAGGUAGUAACUGGCCUUUAUUUGACGGUAAUUACUUAGACAGUCACGGCUAACUACGUGCCAGCAGCCGCGGUAAUACGUAGGUGGCAAGCGUUGUCCGGAUUUAUUGGGCGUAAAGCGAGUGCAGGCGGUUCAAUAAGUCUGAUGUGAAAGCCUUCGGCUCAACCGGGGAAUUGCAUCAGAAACUGUUGGACUUGAGUGCAGAAGAGGAGAGCGGAACUCCAUGUGUAGCGGUGGAAUGCGUAGAUAUAUGGCAGAACACCAGUGGCGAAGGCGGCUCUCUGGUCUGCAACUGACGCUGAGGCUCGAAAGCAUGGGUAGCGAACAGGAUUAGAUACCCGAGUAGUC
Molecule: ribosomal RNA, 465 nt
Filed under: uncultured bacterium
Lineage: Bacteria
Description: partial 16S ribosomal RNA
Rfam family: Bacterial small subunit ribosomal RNA
Source: RNAcentral